ACAGAAAGUCACUGACUCCACCCUGUAAGUUUUCUUCUCCCUGAUCCAGAGUCUCACUGGCCGCCCGCUGCCUCUGAAAUGCACGUCUCCGUGGAGAAACUAAAAGAAUACAAGAAAAGAACAGGAAUAGCCAGGAACAGCCUUCACGUCAGCAGAUCAGCAGCUUUUGAAAUGGAGAGGUGAAGAAGCUCCUUGGCCUCACUAAUGACCGCAUGUAAUGCAAUCUAUUGCUCAUAAGCAGGAAAUGAGCAGCCGUACUGACUGACCUUUCACAUCAGGUCGUCACCUCUCAUGUCAAGGCUCGCUGCUCUCUGGAUGGUGUCGAGUCUCCAUUUCUUGACGCUGAAGAACGGACCCGCUCCCUCCAGGCUGGCAUGUCGUCUGAGCUUAGACAGGAAGUGGAGCAUGGUGC
Long non-coding RNA from Megalobrama amblycephala (Wuchang bream), 412 nucleotides. RefSeq lists it as uncharacterized. The transcript is spliced from 3 exons. Lineage: Eukaryota; Metazoa; Chordata; Actinopteri; Cypriniformes; Xenocyprididae. The record is from RefSeq and is a predicted model, not a curated record.